GAUGAACGCUGGCGGCGUGCCUAAUACAUGCAAGUCGAGCGAACAGAUGAGGAGCUUGCUCCUCUGACGUUAGCGGCGGACGGGUGAGUAACACGUGGAUAACCUACCUAUAAGACUGGGAUAACUUCGGGAAACCGGAGCUAAUACCGGAUAAUAUAUUGAACCGCAUGGUUCAAUAGUGAAAGACGGUUUUGCUGUCACUUAUAGAUGGAUCCGCGCCGCAUUAGCUAGUUGGUAAGGUAACGGCUUACCAAGGCAACGAUGCGUAGCCGACCUGAGAGGGUGAUCGGCCACACUGGCACUGAGACACGGUCCAGACUCCUACGGGAGGCAGCAGUAGGGAAUCUUCCGCAAUGGGCGAAAGCCUGACGGAGCAACGCCGCGUGAGUGAUGAAGGUCUUCGGAUCGUAAAACUCUGUUAUUAGGGAAGAACAAAUGUGUAAGUAACUAUGCACGUCUUGACGGUACCUAAUCAGAAAGCCACGGCUAAAUACGUG
RNAcentral lists this ribosomal RNA (497 nucleotides) under uncultured bacterium. Its description in RNAcentral is "partial 16S ribosomal RNA". It matches the Rfam family "Bacterial small subunit ribosomal RNA", at positions 28 to 507 of the family's 1533-position model. The record is from RNAcentral.